This 1129-nucleotide long non-coding RNA is filed under the name Arabidopsis lyrata. RNAcentral describes it as "long non-coding RNA (ALYR_LNC001760)". The record is from RNAcentral. Lineage: Eukaryota; Viridiplantae; Streptophyta; Magnoliopsida; Brassicales; Brassicaceae.
AAUUCUUAUAUCACCAGUUUCUUAAUGAAAAGUUGUCAUAUACGUCUAAAUCAUAGAUCAAUUCCCUUCAAAACUAAAGAUAAAUGGGAUGCAAAUAUUUACCUCAACAAAAAAUAUCAAUGGUAGAGAAUUUAAGAGAUACAUAAGAAGUGAGUAACAGAGCGCCAGAAACAGUAUUAGAGAUCCUGAAACCGUGAAAGUAUUAAUUAAAUGAGAGUGACAUGGUUUACGUAAACCAGAAUCGUUAGAUUUAAUUGAUGUAAACCGAGUCAAAGCCUAUAUAUAAAGCAGAGUCUUGGAACAUCAACUAUCCUGUGUUUUAUCUGUGGACAACCAAAAUAAGUCGGUUUGACAAAUUAGGGAUCAAAAAUCAAACUAGUAAAGGCCCAUUGGAAAACGGGAACACGAGUUUCGUUGGAUAAAUAGAAUAGUAGCCUAGGGUUCUUCGGUUGUCACGAGGAAUUUCCGUUUCCUUGUAUUUCAAGCUAGCGUUAGACCUCCACAAGUCGUUCGUUGUUCUCCGCUUCUUAUUUCAAACCCUAAGUACUCAUUCGCGUUACCCACUCCUCUUCUUUUCUUUGAACCUCAAGGUUUUAAAGAGAAAGACUUUGUUGCAUAAUGACACCAACACAUGAUUUGUACCACAGCUUGCCAUAUUGAACUGAGACCAACAGAACACAUUUGACGUUUAUGAACAGAGACUAUAAUGACCUUUCUGUGAUAGCCUCUUCAUAGUAUUCAUGUGACAGCCUCUUCAUAUGAUCCAUGAUUGCAUUGCAGGCCUGAACCCUUUUUAACCCCCAAAAAUAUUAAUCACCCACUUGAAAACCAAGCUAGGUUCUGGAAGUUUACUCCACCACCAAAUCGUUAAGUUUCUCAUUUGUUGGAAGAAUUGGAAUGAGAACAAAUCGAUCUUCAUCUCUCAAUUCUCAUAUCACCAGUUUCUUAAUGAAAAGUUGUCAUAUACGUCUAAAUCAUAGAUCAAUUCCCUUCAAAACUAAAGAUAAAUGGGAUGCAAAUAUUUACCUCAACAAAAAAUAUCAAUGGUAGAGAAUUUAAGAGAUACAUAAGAAGUGAGUAACAGAGCGCCAGAAACAGUAUUAGAGAUCCUGAAACCGUGAAAGUAUUA